GAACGCCGUGUGAGGGGAAACUCUCGUGCACGGUGUGAGGCGGGGGAAAAUCUAGCGAUGACAUCAAAAGAUUACCUAUCGUCAU
Molecule: non-coding RNA, 85 nt
Filed under: Ruminiclostridium sufflavum DSM 19573
Lineage: Bacteria; Bacillati; Bacillota; Clostridia; Eubacteriales; Oscillospiraceae
Source: RNAcentral